GGAAAUAUGACUGACAAAAGAAUUAAUUUGACAGAGUAAACAAUAGAGGUUAAAAUCCUCUUAUUUCUA
RNAcentral lists this transfer RNA (69 nucleotides) under Chlorocebus sabaeus (green monkey). It matches the Rfam family "tRNA". Rfam says of the family: Transfer RNA (tRNA) molecules are approximately 80 nucleotides in length. Their secondary structure includes four short double-helical elements and three loops (D, anti-codon, and T loops). Further hydrogen bonds mediate the characteristic L-shaped molecular structure. tRNAs have two regions of fundamental functional importance: the anti-codon, which is responsible for specific mRNA codon recognition, and the 3' end, to which the tRNAs corresponding amino acid is attached (by aminoacyl-tRNA synthetases). tRNAs cope with the degeneracy of the genetic code in two manners: having more than one tRNA (with a specific anti-codon) for a particular amino acid; and 'wobble' base-pairing, i.e. permitting non-standard base-pairing at the 3rd anti-codon position. The record is from Rfam by way of RNAcentral. Lineage: Eukaryota; Metazoa; Chordata; Mammalia; Primates; Cercopithecidae.